CGUUAGGACGAACGCUGGCGGCGUGCCUAAUACAUGCAAGUCGAGCGCGGGAAGCGGACUCGUCACCCGUUCGGGGUGUCUAGUCCGUGGAACGAGCGGCGGAGUGGGUGAGUAUCACGUGGGCAACCUGCCUGUAAGAUUGGGAUAACUCGCGGAAACGUGAGCUAAUACCGAAUGAAGUCUUUUCACCGCCUGGUGAAAGGAUGAAAGAUGGCUUUUUAGCUAUCACUUACAGAUGGGCCCGCGGCGCAUUAGCUAGUUGGUGGGGUAAAGGCCUACCAAGGCGACGAUGCGUAGCCGACCUGAGAGGGUGAUCGGCCACACUGGGACUGAGACACGGCCCAGACUCCUACGGGAGGCAGCAGUAGGGAAUUCUUCCGCAAUGGACGAAAGUCUGACGGAGCAACGCCGCGUGAGUUGAUGAAGGUCUUCGGAUCGUAAAAACUCUGUUGUCAGGGAAGAACAAGUUGUGUUCUAACAGGACAUGACCUUGACGGUACCUGACCAGAAAGCCCCGGCUAACUACGUGCCAGCCGCAGC
This 540-nucleotide ribosomal RNA is filed under the name uncultured bacterium. RNAcentral describes it as "bacterial SSU rRNA". It matches the Rfam family "Bacterial small subunit ribosomal RNA", at positions 26 to 518 of the family's 1533-position model. The record is from RNAcentral.